RNAcentral lists this transfer RNA (76 nucleotides) under Candidatus Peregrinibacteria bacterium. RNAcentral's name for it is "tRNA-Met". It matches the Rfam family "tRNA". Rfam says of the family: Transfer RNA (tRNA) molecules are approximately 80 nucleotides in length. Their secondary structure includes four short double-helical elements and three loops (D, anti-codon, and T loops). The record is from RNAcentral. Lineage: Bacteria; Candidatus Peregrinibacteriota.
CGCGGGGUGGAGCAGUUGGCAGCUCGUCGGGCUCAUAACCCGAAGGUCAUAGGUUCGAAUCCUAUCCCCGCAACCA